Molecule: long non-coding RNA, 1168 nt
Organism: Diospyros lotus (date-plum)
Lineage: Eukaryota; Viridiplantae; Streptophyta; Magnoliopsida; Ericales; Ebenaceae
Exons: 2
Source: RefSeq, a predicted model, not a curated record
AAUUCUAGACAGCCAGAAAGAAGUUACAGACGGGUUUACAGAAAGGCCAUCAUUUGACAAAAUUACCCUCAGUUUUUGUUAAUAUUUCAUAGAAACCAUUGAAACCCUGAAACCCCUUCUAAGUCUAGGCUCUUUCAAUUCCCGCCCGAAGAUUGAAACCCCCUUCCUCCUCAUCCUUUCAGUAGCCGCCCGAAGAUGGUCGUCAAACCCCCUUCCUCAUCAUCAUUUCAGUAGCUGCCCGAAGAUGGUCGUUCUCGUCAACUGAACCGGAACACCAGCAUCUGUUGUCUCUCUUAGCUCCGUCGACGAGACCACCAGAACACCAGGAGCGGUCGUCUCUCUCAGCUCAAUCGCAUCACCUAGCAGCAACCGCUCCCAAUCGCAUCGCCUAGCAGCAACCGCCCCCAAUCGCAACAACCCACGAACCCCACAACCAUCUGGGGCCACCACUUGUUGCAACUACUUCGCCCCCACCUGCUGGCCACUACAUCCCUCAUCGUCGGCCAACGGUCUUUGAAGCCCCCCACCAGCUGGCCAGUCGCACCUACCUGAAGAGACAUUGCAGAAUUUGACAAUGACGGGAAAGAAUAGAGGAAUUUGUCAUAGCUGUAGACGUUCUGGUCACAAUUUGUCGGAAUGUCCCACAAAGCAACAUUGCCCUUCAUGUGGACAGGGGUUUGUGAAGUGGAUGGAGGUAGAGAAAAAUACGGUGAACAAAGGACGUAUGUUUUUUUGUUGUAGUGCUGAUUGCAGAUAUUUCAAGUGGGCUGACGAAUGCCCUGAAAAGAAAGCUGAUGCUUUUGGAGAACAAGUAAGUGAAGUGAUGUAUGACGAAGGUGAAUCAAGUGGUGGUGUUUCGGCCAAAGCAUCUAAUGAGAAAGAUGUGGAGCUGGCUCGCUUAGUUCAACGUCUUGCUCGCAUUUCUGAAGAGAAAGAUGUGGAGAUAUCUCUCAAUCUAACAAUUCGCAAGGGAAAAGGAAACGCACCCUCUUGAGCUUGUCAAACCUCGAAUCUACUAAAAUGAUGUUAACAUGUGUUGUUAAAUUAGAAAUGACCUUUGUCACAUUGUACAAAUACGUUAAGUACUAACUAGUAUAAGAAAGUAACAUGACUAUUUUCUAUUUGUUGGCUCAUCAAGCCAUUAAUUCUCAAAUUGACUUCUUUCGAU